Molecule: ribosomal RNA, 235 nt
Filed under: uncultured Candidatus Saccharibacteria bacterium
Lineage: Bacteria; Candidatus Saccharimonadota
Description: partial 16S ribosomal RNA
Rfam family: Bacterial small subunit ribosomal RNA
Source: RNAcentral
UAAGCAGAAAGUGAAAGCGUGUCGCUCAACGACAUAUACAUUUUCUGAACUGAAGAACUAGAGGAUGAGAGAGGUUAUUGGAAUUUCUUGUGUAGGAGUGAAAUCCGUAGAUAUAAGAAGGAACACCGAUGGCGUAGGCAGAUAACUGGCUCAUACCUGACACUAAGGCACGAAAGCGUGGGGAGCGAACGGGAUUAGAUACCCCGGUAGUCCACGCCGUAAACGAUGGAUGCUA